CAACAAUCUAUGGUCUCCUGCA
This 22-nucleotide microRNA is filed under the name Ciona intestinalis (vase tunicate). RNAcentral's name for it is "Cin-Mir-7_3p* (star (passenger))". Lineage: Eukaryota; Metazoa; Chordata; Ascidiacea; Phlebobranchia; Cionidae. The record is from RNAcentral.